GACGAACGCUGGCGGCGUGCUUAACACAUGCAAGUCGAACGGUAAGGCCCUUCGGGGUACACGAGUGGCGAACGGGUGAGUAACACGUGGGUGAUCUGCCCUGCACUUUGGGAUAAGCCUGGGAAACUGGGUCUAAUACCGGAUAGGACCAUGGACUUCACGGUUUGUGGUGGAAAGCUUUUGCGGUGUGGGAUGGGCCCGCGGGCUAUCAGCUUGUUGGUGGGGUGAUGGCCUACCAAGGCGACGACGGGUAGCCGGCCUGAGAGGGUGACCGGCCACACUGGGACUGCGAUACGGCCCAGACUCCUACGGGAGGCAGCAGUGGGGAAUAUUGCACAAUGGGCGCAAGCCUGAUGCAGCGACGCCGCGUGAGGGAUGACGGCCUUCGGGUUGUAAACCUCUUUCAGCACCGACGAAGCGCAAGUGACGGUAGGUGCAGAAGAAGGACCGGCCAACUACGUGCCAGCCGCCGCAGUAA
RNAcentral lists this ribosomal RNA (478 nucleotides) under uncultured bacterium. Its description in RNAcentral is "partial 16S ribosomal RNA". It matches the Rfam family "Bacterial small subunit ribosomal RNA", at positions 28 to 523 of the family's 1533-position model. The record is from RNAcentral.